UGCUCCGAUAGUAUAAACCAUUACUCUGGUCUUGUAAACCAGAAAUGAAGAAAUAAUCUUCUCAGAGCAUC
RNAcentral lists this transfer RNA (71 nucleotides) under Onychomys leucogaster (northern grasshopper mouse). RNAcentral's name for it is "tRNA-Thr". The record is from RNAcentral. Lineage: Eukaryota; Metazoa; Chordata; Mammalia; Rodentia; Cricetidae.